This 440-nucleotide ribosomal RNA is filed under the name uncultured prokaryote. Its description in RNAcentral is "bacterial SSU rRNA". It matches the Rfam family "Bacterial small subunit ribosomal RNA", at positions 355 to 796 of the family's 1533-position model. The record is from RNAcentral.
UGGGGAAUCUUGGGCAAUGGGCGAAAGCCUGACCCAGCCACGCCGCGUGGAGGAAGACACCCCUAUGGGGCGUAAACUCCUUUUGUGUGAGAAGAAAUCUCCUUCUGGGAGGCUGACGGUAUCACACGAAUAAGCACCGGCUAACUCCGUGCCAGCAGCCGCGGUAAUACGGAGGGUGCAAGCGUUGUCCGGAAUCACUGGGUGUAAAGGGUGUGUAGGUGGGACUGUAAGUCAGAGGUGAAAGCCCACGGCUCAACCGUGGAAUUGCCUUUGAUACUGCAGUUCUUGAGUCCCGGAGAGGUCAUCGGAAUUCGUGGUGUAGCGGUGAAAUGCGUAGAUAUCACGAGGAACACCAGAGGCGUAAGCGGAUGACUGGACGGGUACUGACACUGAGGCACGAAAGCGUGGGGAGCAAACAGGAUUAGAUACCCCCGUAGUCC